This 474-nucleotide ribosomal RNA is filed under the name uncultured bacterium. RNAcentral describes it as "SSU rRNA". It matches the Rfam family "Bacterial small subunit ribosomal RNA", at positions 26 to 518 of the family's 1533-position model. The record is from RNAcentral.
AGGACGAACGCUGGCGGCGCGCUUAACACAUGCAAGUCGAACGUGAAGCUGGAGCUUGCUCCGGUGGAAAGUGGCGAACGGGUGCGUAACACGUGAGCAACCUGCCCCGAAGACUGGGAUAACACCGGGAAACCGGUGCUAAUACCGGAUACCUUCUUCCGAUCGCAUGGUCGGCUGAAGAAAUGGAUUCCGCUUCGGGAUGGGCUCGCGGCCUAUCAGCUUGUUGGUGAGGUAACGGCCCACCAAGGCGACGACGGGUAGCUGGUCUGAGAGGACGACCAGCCACACUGGAACUGAGACACGGUCCAGACUCCUACGGGAGGCAGCAGUGGGGAAUAUUGGGCAAUGGAGGCAACUCUGACCCGGCCAUGCCGCGUGGGUGACGAAGGUCUUCGGAUUGUAAAGCCCUUUCUGCGGGGACGAUGAUGACGGUACCCGCAGAAGAGCCCCGGCUAACUUCGUGCCAGCAGCCGC